Long non-coding RNA from Coregonus clupeaformis (lake whitefish), 185 nucleotides. RefSeq lists it as uncharacterized. The transcript has 3 exons. The record is from RefSeq and is a predicted model, not a curated record. Lineage: Eukaryota; Metazoa; Chordata; Actinopteri; Salmoniformes; Salmonidae.
GGGGAAAGGGCUGGAUGACAUUGAGGUCAAUCCUGAAGUAGAAAUGAGUGAUGAUGAUUCCAGUGAAGAAACCAUUGCUGACCUACAUCAAUGCAAAGGCUCAACAACAGAGACUUCUAGGGACCAGACACUUCUGAGGCAAACACCAGAGUCAACCACCCUGGACAACAUGGAGGGCACUUCUG